AUUGAACGCUGGCGGCAGGCCUAACACAUGCAAGUCGAGCGGAUGAAGGGAGCUUGCUCCUGGAUUCAGCGGCGGACGGGUGAGUAAUGCCUAGGAAUCUGCCUGGUAGUGGGGGAUAACGUCCGGAAACGGGCGCUCAUACCGCAUACGUCCUGAGGGAGAAAGUGGGGGAUCUUCGGACCUCACGCUAUCAGAUGAGCCUAGGUCGGAUUAGCUAGUUGGUGGGGUAAAGGCCUACCAAGGCGACGAUCCGUAACUGGUCUGAGAGGAUGAUCAGUCACACUGGAACUGAGACACGGUCCAGACUCCUACGGGAGGCAGCAGUGGGGAAUAUUGGACAAAGGGCGAAAGCCUGAUCCAGCCAUGCCGCGUGUGUGAAGAAGGUCUUCGGAUUGUAAAGCACUUUAAGUUGGGAGGAAGGGCAGUAAGUUAAUACCUUGCUGUUUUGACGGUACCAACAGAAUAAGCACCGGCUAACUUCGUG
This 484-nucleotide ribosomal RNA is filed under the name uncultured bacterium. RNAcentral describes it as "partial 16S ribosomal RNA". It matches the Rfam family "Bacterial small subunit ribosomal RNA", at positions 30 to 507 of the family's 1533-position model. The record is from RNAcentral.